This 215-nucleotide long non-coding RNA is filed under the name Capsicum annuum. RNAcentral's name for it is "long non-coding RNA (CANN_LNC017916)". The record is from RNAcentral. Lineage: Eukaryota; Viridiplantae; Streptophyta; Magnoliopsida; Solanales; Solanaceae.
UCAAGUGUAAGAGAUAGGGAUGAGUUUCUGUACAGUGCUUCCCGGCCAGUCUCAAAGUUAGAUAUAUGACGUUACGAGAAUGUUAUGCAUAGAAUCCCUACAAUGUAGGAAUCAAAGAAAAAUAAUUGAGAUCAUAUAUCUACACAACUUAAGAUUUAAGUACAUUUUGUAAGAAAUCUAUUGUUACUUAUAUAUGUUAUUGGUGGAACUUCAAG